This 420-nucleotide ribosomal RNA is filed under the name uncultured bacterium. RNAcentral describes it as "partial 16S ribosomal RNA". It matches the Rfam family "Bacterial small subunit ribosomal RNA", at positions 355 to 762 of the family's 1533-position model. The record is from RNAcentral.
UGGGGAAUUUUGGACAAUGGGCGAAAGCCUGAUCCAGCAAUGCCGCGUGUGUGAAGAAGGCCUUCGGGUUGUAAAGCACUUUUGUCCGGAAAGAAAUCCUCUGGGUUAAUACCUCGGGGGGAUGACGGUACCGGAAGAAUAAGCACCGGCUAACUACGUGCCAGCAGCCGCGGUAAUACGUAGGGUGCAAGCGUUAAUCGGAAUUACUGGGCGUAAAGCGUGCGCAGGCGGUUUUGUAAGACGGAUGUGAAAUCCCCGGGCUUAACCUGGGAACUGCAUUCGUGACUGCAAGGCUAGAGUAUGGCAGAGGGGGGUAGAAUUCCACGUGUGAGCAGUGAAAAUGCGUAGAGAUGUGGAGGAAUACCGAUGGCGAAAGGCAGCCCCCUGGGCCAAAUACUGACGCUCAUGCACGAAAAGCGU